ACUCCUACGGGAGCAGCAGUGGGGAAUAUUGCACAAUGGGCGCAAGCCUGAUGCAGCCAUGCCGCGUGUAUGAAGAAGGCCUUCGGGUUGUAAAGUACUUUCAGCAGUGAGGAAGGCGGGUACGUUAAUAGCGUGCUUGUUUGACGUUAGCUGCAGAAGAAGCACCGGCUAACUCCGUGCCAGCAGCCGCGGUAAUACGGAGGGUGCGAGCGUUAAUCGGAAUUACUGGGCGUAAAGCGCAUGCAGGUGGUUUGUUAAGUCAGAUGUGAAAGCCCGGGGCUCAACCUCGGAAUUGCAUUUGAAACUGGCAGACUAGAGUACUGUAGAGGGGGGUAGAAUUUCAGGUGUAGCGGUGAAAUGCGUAGAGAUCUGAAGGAAUACCCGGUGGCGAAGGCGGCCCCCUGGACAGAUACUGACACUCAGGAUGCGAAAGCGUGGGGAGCAAACAGGAUUAGAUACCCUGGUAGGAUAGC
Molecule: ribosomal RNA, 473 nt
Filed under: uncultured bacterium
Lineage: Bacteria
Description: bacterial SSU rRNA
Rfam family: Bacterial small subunit ribosomal RNA
Source: RNAcentral